GGUGGGGUGAUGGCCUACCAAGGCGACGACGGGUAACCGGCCUGAGAGGGCGACCGGUCACACUGGGACUGAGACACGGCCCAGACUCCUACGGGAGGCAGCAGUGGGGAAUAUUGCGCAAUGGGCGGAAGCCUGACGCAGCGACGCCGCGUGGGGGAUGACGGCCUUCGGGUUGUAAACCCCUUUCAGCAUCGACGAAGCUCCAUCCUUGCAGGGUGGGGUGACGGUAGGUGCAGAAGAAGCGCCGGCUAACUACGUGCCAGCAGCCGCGGUAAUACGUAGGGCGCGAGCGUUGUCCGGAAUUAUUGGGCGUAAAGAGCUCGUAGGCGGUCUGUCGCGUCUGUCGUGAAAGCCCACGGCUUAACUGUGGGUCUGCGGUGGAUACGGGCAGGCUAGAGGCAGGUAGGGGAGCAUGGAAUUCCCGGUGUAGCGGUGAAAUGCGCAGAUAUCGGGAGGAACACCGGUGGCGAAGGCGGUGCUCUGGGCCUGUUCUGACGCUGAGGAGCGAAAGCGUGGGGAGCGAGCAGGAUUAGAUACCCUGGUAGUCCACGCCGUAAACGUUGGGCGCUAGGUGUGGGGUUCUUCCACGGAUUCCGCGCCGUAGCUAACGCAUUAAGCGCCCCGC
This 625-nucleotide ribosomal RNA is filed under the name uncultured Actinomycetes bacterium. RNAcentral describes it as "bacterial SSU rRNA". It matches the Rfam family "Bacterial small subunit ribosomal RNA", at positions 251 to 872 of the family's 1533-position model. Lineage: Bacteria; Bacillati; Actinomycetota; Actinomycetes. The record is from RNAcentral.